This 2268-nucleotide ribosomal RNA is filed under the name Triticum aestivum (bread wheat). Its description in RNAcentral is "partial small subunit ribosomal RNA". Lineage: Eukaryota; Viridiplantae; Streptophyta; Magnoliopsida; Poales; Poaceae. The record is from RNAcentral.
AUGGGCGUGUCCAGAUGGGAUGAUGAAGUAGAGGCGUCUGAAGUAGAGGAGUCUGAAGUAGAGGACGAUGAAGUAGGGGAGUCUGAAUUAGAGGAUGAUGAAGUAGAGGAGGAUGAGGAGUUCCAUGAGGCAGAGCAUACUCCACAUGUAGAGUAUGACAAAUUAGACCAUCCAAUGACAAAAGGCUUUACAUAUCCCAGCAUGAAAGAGUUCAAGUUGGCACUUUCUCAGCAUGCAAUCAAACAUGAAUUUGAGUAUAAUACCGAGUAUAGUACACCUCAUUGGUUUAGGGGCUAUUGUUCAAGACGAGAUGCUGAUAAUUGUCCAUGGAGGAUACAUGCUUCUACGACGGAGGAUAAGUGUACUGUAAUGGUGAAGAAAAACCCAUGUGGUCAUGAUUGCUCUAGUACAAGAAGGAAAAGGAAGAUGAAGAACGCAACCAAGUUUUGGAUAUGUGAUAAGGUGAAGGAUUGGCUGAUUGAAGAUGCUACUCUCGGAGCGAAGGCAUUGCGCAAAAAGAUUAAAGAACACCACAAGGUUGACAUCCACUACAAGAGGGUAUAUAUGGGUAAGAAGCUAGCUCUGAAAGAACUAUAUGGUGAUUGGGAUAGCAGCUUUGACAAUUUGUAUAGGUUUAAAGCACAAGUUGAAAUCUCUUGCCCUGGUAGCAUAGUGCAGAUUGAUCAUUACACUAUAAAAGAAAAAAUCAGGUUUAGAAGGUUCUUCUUUGCUUUGAAACCUUGCAUAGAUGGAUUCCUUAGUGGUUGCAGACCGUAUUUGGCAGUAGAUAGCACAUUCUUAACAGGCAGGUUUAAGGGGCAGCUAGCCAGUGCUACUGCUGUAGAUGGCCAUAAUUGGAUGUAUCCACUUUGUUUUGGAAUUUUUGAUUCCGAAACAAAUGAGAACUGGAUCUGGUUCAUGCAAUUGCUUAGGCAAGCCAUAGGAUCGCCAAGGGGUUUAGCCAUAAGCACUGAUGCUGGGCAGGCGGUGAUGACAGGGGUAAAGGAAGUUUUCCCAAAGGUAGAACAUAGGGAAUGCAUGUUUCACUUGGUGUCAAACUUCAAGAAAAAGUAUCACGGAAAGGUAUUUGAUGACCAUCUUUGGGUUGCUGCUUACUCAUGGAACAAGUAUAUAUUUGAGAAAAAUUGGGUUGCAAUGGAGACAGCAAAGCCAGCGGCAACUACAUAUCUUAGGAAGUGGCACACUAGGUUGUGGACUAGGAGUCAGUUCUCAACCAUUUGUAAGGUGGACUAUGUAACCAACAACCUGGCAGAGUGCUUCAAUAAAUGGAUUAAGCACCACAAGUCCUUGAACUUGGAUGACUUAAUGGACAAGCUUAGGCAGAUGAUUAUGAUCAUGUGGAAUCGAAGGAGAAAAGUAGCAAAGAAGUUAGCUAGCUUAUUAAUUUUGCCCCACAUAAUGAAGAAGUUGAAUGCAAAGAGUAGAGAGUUAAACUUGGAGGUGGUAGAAAGCUCGGAAGAAGUUGCUGAAGUUACUCAAUUGGGAGGCAACGGGUUUAGGUUUGUCGUCAACUUGCAUGAUAACACAUGUUCUUGUAGACAAUGGCAAGUUUCCGGCCUUCCUUGCAAGCAUGCUCUAGCAUUCAUCACAUCACUUGUCAAUGCACAUAUACAGAAUUAUGUGGACUCAUCUUACUCCAUUGACAAGUUUAGGGUAGCUUAUGGCCAACUAAUCCCUGCUAUGUGUGACAAGACCCAGUGGCCUGAAUCUAACCAUGGAUUCUUCAUGCAUCCACCCUUGUUAAAAGCUGUAGCUGGUCGGCCCCAAACUGAGAGGCAUAAGGGUUGUGGUGAGAAAAGGAGGAAAAGUAGCCAGCACUUGUGCCCUAUUUGCAAGGAAUACGGGCACCAUUGGCAUAAGUGCAAGAAGGGUAACAAAGAUGACAUUGUUGCUUUCAUGGCUGUGAGAGAACCACCAAAGAAGAGGAGGAAGACUACUAAAACAUCCGAGUCAUCCAUUGUGCCAAGAGGUGAUGACGCGCCGACAGCCGCUAUGUAUUUUCCACCAAGCCAAAACUUAGAAACUACAACCAAGAAGAAGGGAAAGCAUAACCAAACAUUGGAGACUACAAACAAGAAAAAUGCAAAAGGGGGGAAAAGGGCCACAAGGAAGAUGGAGCUUGCUAAAAAGGAUCAAAACAAUCUGAUGGUUCCAUUUGACAGCCCUGCAAUGGGCACUAGAAGCAAAAGAGCUUACCCAACUAGCCCUGCAAUGGGCACAAGAAGCAAAAGGCGGCUCAGCUUAUGA